Molecule: ribosomal RNA, 421 nt
Filed under: uncultured prokaryote
Description: bacterial SSU rRNA
Rfam family: Bacterial small subunit ribosomal RNA
Source: RNAcentral
CCUACGGGGGCUGCAGUGGGGAAUAUUGGGCAAUGGGCGCAAGCCUGACCCAGCAACGCCGCGUGAGGGAAGAAGGCUUUCGGGUUGUAAACCUCUGUCCUUGGUGACGAAAAAAAUGACGGUAGCCAAGGAGGAAGCCCCGGCUAACUACGUGCCAGCAGCCGCGGUAAUACGUAGGGGGCGAGCGUUGUCCGGAAUUACUGGGCGUAAAGGGUGCGUAGGUGGCCUUUUAAGGUGGAUGUGAAAUCCCCGGGCUUAACUUGGGUGGUGCAUCUAAUACUGGAUGGCUAGAGUGCAGGAGAGGGAAGCGGAAUUCCUAGUGUAGCGGUGAAAUGCGUAGAUAUUAGGAGGAACACCAGUGGCGAAGGCGGCUUUCUGGACUGUAACUGACACUGAGGCACGAAAGCGUGGGGAGCAAACA